Molecule: unclassified non-coding RNA, 328 nt
Filed under: soil metagenome
Description: partial contains 5.8S ribosomal RNA, internal transcribed spacer 2, and large subunit ribosomal RNA
Rfam family: 5.8S ribosomal RNA (bases 1-120)
Source: RNAcentral
GAUGAAGAACGCAGCGAAAUGCGAUAAGUAAUGUGAAUUGCAGAAUUCAGUGAAUCAUCGAAUCUUUGAACGCUCAUUGCGCCCCCUGGUAUUCCGGGGGGCAUGCCUGUUCGAGCGUCAUUUCAACCCUCAAGCUCUGCUUGGUAUUGAGUCCAUGUCAGCAAUGGCAGGCUCCAAAAUCAGUGGCGGCGCCGCUGGGUCCUGAACGUAGUAAUAUCUCUCGUUACAGGUGCUCGGCGUGCUUCUGCCAAAACCCCAAUUUUUCUAUGGUUGACCUCGGAUCAGGUAGGGAUACCCGCUGAACUUAAGCAUAUCAAUAAGCGGAGGA